RNAcentral lists this small nuclear RNA (105 nucleotides) under Phascolarctos cinereus (koala). The record is from RNAcentral. Lineage: Eukaryota; Metazoa; Chordata; Mammalia; Diprotodontia; Phascolarctidae.
AUGCUCACUUUGACAGCACAUACAUUAAUUGGAAUGAUACAGAGAAGAUUAACAGAGCCCCUGGGCAAAGCUGACAUGUAAAUUCAAUAAUGAUCCCAUAUUUGU